AACGAACGCUGGCGGCAGGCUUAACACAUGCAAGUCGAGCGCCCCGCAAGGGGAGCGGCAGACGGGUGAGUAACGCGUGGGAACGUACCUUUUGGUUCGGAACAACUCCGGGAAACUGGAGCUAAUACCGGAUAAGCCCUAACGGGGAAAGAUUUAUCGCCGAAAGAUCGGCCCGCGUCUGAUUAGCUAGUUGGUGAGGUAACGGCUCACCAAGGCGACGAUCAGUAGCUGGUCUGAGAGGAUGAUCAGCCACACUGGGACUGAGACACGGCCCAGACUCCUACGGGAGGCAGCAGUGGGGAAUAUUGGACAAUGGGCGCAAGCCUGAUCCAGCCAUGCCGCGUGAGUGAUGAAGGCCUUAGGGUUGUAAAGCUCUUUUGUCCGGGAAGAUAAUGACUGUACCGGAAGAAUAAGCCCCGGCUGACUUCGUG
RNAcentral lists this ribosomal RNA (431 nucleotides) under uncultured bacterium. RNAcentral's name for it is "partial 16S ribosomal RNA". It matches the Rfam family "Bacterial small subunit ribosomal RNA", at positions 29 to 507 of the family's 1533-position model. The record is from RNAcentral.